Tribolium castaneum (red flour beetle) is the source of this 2628-nucleotide long non-coding RNA. RefSeq lists it as uncharacterized. The record is from RefSeq and is a predicted model, not a curated record. The transcript is spliced from 3 exons. Lineage: Eukaryota; Metazoa; Arthropoda; Insecta; Coleoptera; Tenebrionidae.
GUCCAAACCUAAAAAUUUUCAGGACGUUUAGAGGAAAUUGCUCCAAAUAAAGCUCGAACAUGCAAGGCAGUAUGUAAUGAAUGUUCCCAAACAUUUUCAAAAUACUCGAAUUUGAGAAGACACGUUCAAAAAUUUCACAGCGCAAAAGUAGAGCAGCUUACAUCUCCAAAAAUUUAUGCAUACCAGUGUGAACAUUGCAGAAAAAACUUUUCAAAUAUAAAUCACUAUAAAAAUCCUAGGAAAAUUCAUAAUGACCAAAGUAAUGCCGAUAAUCGAAUGACAGUGAAAAAAUGUAGCUUGUGUCAUUUUGAAACCGUGUCAAAAUCAACACUAAAUAUUCAUUUAGGACAAGCACAUGAUAUAGAAAUUUCUACUAAAUCAUUAAAUUUCCUCAACGCAAACGAAUUUGACAGUUGGAAAAAUAACGUAGAGAAGGCCACUUGCGCAAAAUAUGUUAGUAGUCACGGCUCAUAUAAAACUCAAAGUGGUCUUAAAAAUAUAAUGUACGUUUGUCAUCGUUCUGGUUUUUACGUGAAAAAAGGUGAAGGUCUGAGACAUUUGAAAACACAAGGGAGCAACAAAAUCAACGGUAUAUGCCCCUCAGAGAUGCUUGUAAAAAUCCAAGACGAUGGUACCCAUAAUGGGAUUUUUAUUGAAACCCACAUAGGGCAUGAUAAUGAAUUAGGUCAUUUGAAUCUGACAGACUCUCAGAGAAUGGAUUUGGCUUCUAAAAUUGCUUCCAAAGUCCCGUUCGCAUCAAUUUUGGAUGACAUUAGAGAUUCAGUCACUGGCAAUAAUUUGGAAAGAAUGCACUUGCUGUCUAGAAAAGACCUUCAUAAUAUCACUCAAUUAUUUAAUUUAAAUAAUUAAUCUAUGCGGCAUAAAGAUGACGCUAUUAGUAUUGAGGCCUGGGUAAAUCAAGUUAAGGAAAGUGGGACAAUUUUGUUUUAUGAGCCUCAGGGGGCGAAAAGUGAGCGUUACCCUUUUCUGAAAGGUGACGAUUUUGUUAUAAUUAUUAUGCAUCCUGGUCAAUUAGAAAUAUUAAAUAAGUUUUGUGAUGACGGCAUCUGUAUUGACGGAACUCAUGGUCUCAAUGAUUAUGACUUCGAACUCACAACACUAAUGGUAUUAGACGACAUGCGGGAAGGGUUCCCUUGCAGUUUCAUGUUCUCAAAUAGAACGGACGAAGUUGUUAUUCAAAUUUUUUUCGAAGAGAUAAAGGGUAACUUGGGACGUUCAAUUCAGGUACGAGUAUUUAUGUCUGACAUGGCACCGGCUUAUUACAACGCCUGGUUGCAAGUGUUUGGUCCUGCCGAAUUCAAGUAAAUGUUUAUAUAUUUUUAUCAGUAAAUAUCCCAUAUUAUUUACAAACUCACUCAUAGGCUGUUCUGUAUAUGGCAUGUCGACAGAGCAUGGAGAAAAAAUUUAAAUAAAAUUGACGUCAAGAGUCUCAGGUUUGUUUUUCAGAUUUAAGUAUUUUUUAACGUUCAAAACUAGUCGAAUGUCUACAAACAGUUACGAACACUCUUGCAAGAGAGACAUCCUGAAGCAUUUUUGAGGAUGAUGCAAAAUUUAGUGAAUGAGUUAUUGUCUACCCCUCAAACUUCAGAAUUUGGACGUUAUUUUGUGCAAAACUAUGGGGACAAUGUUAAUGCAUGGGCUUAUUGUCAUCGGCUGCAUGCUGGUUUCAACACCAAUAUGCACAUAGAGCGUAUGCACCAUACGAUUAAGUAUUUAUACUUGGAAGGAAAGAAAGCACAUCGCCUCGACAAAUCAAUCAAUAAACUCAUGAAAUUUAUUAAAGACAAACUUUUCGAGAGGCUCAUUAUAAUAAAUAAAGGCAAAAUAUCAACAAAAGUCAAGGAUUUGCGAAGCAAGCACAAAACUAGUGAGAAGUUGGAUACGUCAACUGUUAUGGAAUCUGAAUCCGGUUAUCAGGUUUUGUCUUCAACAUCUAAGGAAAUUUAUAUCGUUGAAGAAAAAAGGUCUGGUUGUAACUGCAAAUUAGUUUGCUCUUCAUGUGAAGUAUGUAUCCAUGCUUAUUCAUGCACCUGUUUGGACAACAGUAUUCGAUGGAACAUGUGUAAACAUAUUCAUUUAUUUGGUUUGCAGAUAUAAAAAAGAUAUCAAAGAAUCACCUACUAUUUCAAAUAGAAUUGAAGAUGAAGAGUGGUGCGUUGUGGUUGUUAACGAAUCUAAUAUCGAAAAGAAAAAAGGAGAAGAACAACUUAUGCAAAUACUGUCUAAAUCUGAUAAAAACUUACCUUUGAAUAAACAAGAUCAAUUGAACACCGAAAAAAAAAAUUGAAAACACUUCAUAUUCAGUUGAUUGAUAAAAUUUCAACUUUUGAAGAACUAGAAAUAUUCAAAAGACAUACAGCGUCCAUUGGCCCUACUUUAGCAGCUGUUCGAAAAAACAACGAACAAAAAAUAACGCUACCUCCAAAUGUACCAAAUGUCCCUCACAAUAAACGGAUAGACCGACAACGGUUUUUCUCUACGAAGAAAAAAAGGAAAAGAACUGCAAAGAUGAGCAAACCAAAUGACGAAGAAGCAAAUACAGAUUAUUAAAAAGUAAUGGAAUCAACAAUACCUAAUUAGUAAUUAUUAAAUGAAACUUAUUCUAUU